CGGGGGAGCAAGCGUUGUUCGGAUUUACUGGGCGUAAAGGGCGUGUAGGCGGCCACCGCAAGUCGACUGUGAAAUCUCCGGGCUUAACUCGGAAAGGUCAGCCGAUACUGCGGGGCUAGAGUGCAGAAGGGGCAACUGGAAUUCUCGGUGUAGCGGUGAAAUGCGUAGAUAUCGAGAGGAACACCUGCGGCGAAGGCGGGUUGCUGGGCUGACACUGACGCUGAAACGCGAAAGCUAGGGGAGCGAACGGGAUUAGAUACCCCGGUAGUCCUAGCCUUAAACGAUGAAUGCUUGGUGUCUGGGGUUUUAUAGUCCCCGGGUGCCGUCGCUAACGCUUUAAGCAUUCCGCCUGGGGAGUACGGUCGCAAGACUG
RNAcentral lists this ribosomal RNA (373 nucleotides) under uncultured organism. Its description in RNAcentral is "bacterial SSU rRNA". It matches the Rfam family "Bacterial small subunit ribosomal RNA", at positions 527 to 896 of the family's 1533-position model. The record is from RNAcentral.